RNAcentral lists this non-coding RNA (100 nucleotides) under Paraburkholderia phenazinium. RNAcentral's name for it is "ZTP sequence". It matches the Rfam family "ZMP/ZTP riboswitch aptamer (pfl RNA motif)". Rfam says of the family: Previously known as pfl RNA. ZMP is also known as AICAR. The record is from Rfam by way of RNAcentral. Lineage: Bacteria; Pseudomonadati; Pseudomonadota; Betaproteobacteria; Burkholderiales; Burkholderiaceae.
UCAUCCCUGCGUGACUGGCGAUAGAACCAAACAGGUUCAAGGUGGAGCGACCCACCGUGAAGCGCAGGGUGCCGUUUUGCCGUUCGCCUGGGCAGCCGUG